This 460-nucleotide ribosomal RNA is filed under the name uncultured bacterium. RNAcentral's name for it is "partial 16S ribosomal RNA". It matches the Rfam family "Bacterial small subunit ribosomal RNA", at positions 338 to 795 of the family's 1533-position model. The record is from RNAcentral.
CCUACGGGAGGCAGCAGUGAGGAAUAUUGGUCAAUGGGAGCAAUUCUGAACCAGCCAUGCCGCGUGCAGGACGACGGCUCUACGAGUUGUAAACUGCUUUUGUACCGGGGUAAACUGUCUUACGUGUAGGGUUUUGUAAGUACCGUACGAAUAAGGAUCGGCUAACUCCGUGCCAGCAGCCGCGGUAAUACGGAGGAUCCGAGCGUUAUCCGGAUUUAUUGGGUUUAAAGGGUGCGUAGGUGGUGUGUUAAGUUAGCGGUGAAAUACCGAGGCUCAACAUCGGAGCUGCGGGUAAUACUGGAGGGCGAGAGAGAGGAUGCGGCAGGCGGAAUGUGUAGUGUAGCGGUGAAAUGCUUAGAGAUCAUACAGAACACCGAUUGCGAAGGCAGCUUGCUAGGCUGGAUCUGACACUGAGGCACGAAAGCGUGGGGAUCAAACAGGAUUAGAUACCCCUGUAGUC